ACUUGCGGUGUGCCUUAUGCAUGCAAGUCGAACGGUCUUGAUUUAUCAAGAUAGUGGCGAACGGGUGAGUAACGCGUAAGUAACCUGCCCUUAAGUAGGGGAUAACUCUGAGAAAUUAGAGCAAAUACCGUAUGUGGUGGUAGAGGUAAUGCUUUAUUACUAAAGCCUUAGGGCGCUUGGGGAGGGGCUUGCGUCCGAUUAGCUAGUUGGUAGGGUAACGGCUUACCAAGGCGAUGAUCGGUAGCUGGUUUGAGAGGACGGCCAGCCACACUGGGACUGAGACACGGCCCAGACUCCUACGGGAGGCAGCAGCAAGGAAUAUUGUGCAAUGGGCGAAAGCCUGACACAGCGACACCGCGUGGGGGAUGAAGGCCUUCGGGUUGUAAACCCCUUUUCUCAGGGAAGAAUAAUGACGGUACCUGAGGAAUAAGUCUCGGCUAACUACGUGCCAGCAGCCGCGGUAAGACGUAGGAGGCGAGUGUUAUCCGGAUUUACUGGGCGUAAAGAGGGCGUAGGCGGCUUUUCAAGUCGGAUGUAAAAUCUCCUGGCUUAACUAGGAGGGGUCAUUCGAUACUGUUAGGCUAGAGGGCAGCAGAGGGAGGUGGAAUUCCCGGUGUAGUGGUGAAAUGCGUAGAUAUCGGGAGGAACACCAGUGGCGAAGGCGGCCUCCUAGGCUGUUUCUGACGCUGAGGCCCGAAGGCGUGGGGAGCGAACAGGAUUAGAUACUCUGGUAGUCCACGCUGUAAACGAUGGAUACUAGGUAUGGGGGGGUAUUGACCCCCUCCGUGCCGAAGCUAACGCGUUAAGUAUCCCGCCUGGGACUACGGCCGCAAGGCUAAACUCAAAGGAAUUGA
Molecule: ribosomal RNA, 854 nt
Filed under: uncultured bacterium
Lineage: Bacteria
Description: bacterial SSU rRNA
Rfam family: Bacterial small subunit ribosomal RNA
Source: RNAcentral